RNAcentral lists this ribosomal RNA (492 nucleotides) under uncultured bacterium. RNAcentral describes it as "partial 16S ribosomal RNA". It matches the Rfam family "Bacterial small subunit ribosomal RNA", at positions 29 to 507 of the family's 1533-position model. The record is from RNAcentral.
AGUGAACGCUGGCGGUAGGCCUAACACAUGCAAGUCGAACGGCAGCACAGUAAGAGCUUGCUCUUACGGGUGGCGAGUGGCGGACGGGUGAGGAAUAUAUCGGAAUCUACUUUUUCGUGGGGGAUAACGUAGGGAAACUUACGCUAAUACCGCAUACGACCUACGGGUGAAAGCAGGGGAUCUUCGGACCUUGCGCGAUUGAAUGAGCCGAUGUCGGAUUAGCUAGUUGGCGGGGUAAAGGCCCACCAAGGCGACGAUCCGUAGCUGGUCUGAGAGGAUGGUCAGCCACACUGGAGCUGAGACACGGUCCAGACUCCUACGGGAGGCAGCAGUGGGGAAUAUUGGACAAUGGGCGCAAGCCUGAUCCAGCCAUACCGCGUGGGUGAAGAAGGCCUUCGGGUUGUAAAGCCCUUUUGUGGGGAAAGAAAAGCAGCAGGUUAAUACCCCGCUGUUCUGACGGUACCCAAAGAAUAAGCACCGGCUAACUUCGUG